GACAGAGGGUGCAAACGUUGCUCGGAAUCACUGGGCGUAAAGGGCGUGUAGGCGGGAAGGAAAGUCAGAUGUGAAAUCCCUGGGCUCAACCCAGGAACUGCAUUUGAAACUCCCUUUCUUGAGUACCGGAGAGGAAGGUGGAAUACCUGGUGUAGAGGUGAAAUUCGUAGAUAUCAGGUGGAACACCAGUGGCGAAGGCGGCCUUCUGGACGGUAACUGACGCUGAGACGCGAAAGCGUGGGGAGCAAACAGGAUUAGAAACCCGCGUAGUCC
RNAcentral lists this ribosomal RNA (273 nucleotides) under uncultured bacterium. RNAcentral's name for it is "partial 16S ribosomal RNA". It matches the Rfam family "Bacterial small subunit ribosomal RNA", at positions 524 to 796 of the family's 1533-position model. The record is from RNAcentral.